This 400-nucleotide ribosomal RNA is filed under the name uncultured bacterium. RNAcentral describes it as "bacterial SSU rRNA". It matches the Rfam family "Bacterial small subunit ribosomal RNA", at positions 123 to 518 of the family's 1533-position model. The record is from RNAcentral.
AACCUACCUAUCAGAGGGAAGUAACCCGGACGAAAGUCGGACUAAUACCGCAUAAAACAGGGGCACCGCAUGGUGAUAUUUGUUAAAGAAAUUCGCUGAUAGAUGGGCAUGCGUUCCAUUAGGUAGUUGGUGAGGUAACGGCUCACCAAGCCGACGAUGGAUAGGGGAACUGAGAGGUUGGUCCCCCACCACUGGUACUGAGACACGGACCAGACUCCUACGGGAGGCAGCAGUGAGGAAUAUUGGUCAAUGGGCGGGAGCCUGAACCAGCCAAGUCGCGUGAAAGGAAGAAGGAUCUAUGGUUCGUAAACUUCUUUUGCAGGGGAAUAAAGUGCAGGACGUGUCCUGUUUUGUAUGUACCCUGAGAAUAAGGAUCGGCUAACUCCGUGCCAGCAGCCGC